This 1782-nucleotide long non-coding RNA is filed under the name Daucus carota (carrot). RNAcentral's name for it is "long non-coding RNA (DCAR_LNC004798)". The record is from RNAcentral. Lineage: Eukaryota; Viridiplantae; Streptophyta; Magnoliopsida; Apiales; Apiaceae.
CGAAAACCGAAGUUCAAAACCGAAAUUUGACCAAAUCUUGAAUUACAGAAACAAACACAGAAAUUACUUUACAAGUCAUGAAUACAAAUUACUUUACAAGUCAUGAAUACGAUUACUGAAUCAGAAAGUUUAAAUACAUCUUGGCAUCACAGUUGCACAGUCUUGUAUCUUGCUGAGUGUUAAUAUUAAGUGUUAAUUGCUAAUGCUAAUGGCUUAUGGCUGACUGCAGAAGUGCCCUGAUUGCUGAAUGCUUGGAGUCUUUGACUGGAUGGAGACAUACAAGCUAUUGGCGCUCCUCUCUGACUGGUGCUGCUGCAAAAUGACAAAGGAAUACAAUAACAUAUAUAUGUAUUUAAGUGGUGGACCGAUAACUACAUGGCAAGCUCAGAUCAUACAGUAACUUAACUUAAAUCAUUUACAACUUAUGGAGUGAUGGUGCAUGGUUAUGCGACUGAGUGCCUGACUGAUACUAUCCGAAGAAACAUGUCAAGUCUUUUUAAAACACUAAUGGCCUGAACAAUUGCAGGGAUGGGAAGAUUGAACUUAGCCAACAAUAUUGUGCAGGGUUUGUCUAGUGUGUGCCCAUGGGCACACAUUAUAUAUACACUAAAUUUGAUGAGUUUGGUGGAUUUUAGUUGGUGGACUUUGGUGUAAAUGCAGGGGGGCCAUCCUUAUUUAUGAUUAGAUGACCAAUAAAAAUGCAUCAAAAUCAUAGGAGUUAGUGCUUAUUGUGUGCCCAUGGGCACACCAUAGAAAAACCGUAAAACAAAUGGAAUCCACGACUCUGUAUCAUUUCCAGUAAACAAAAAAGAGAAGCUCUUCUGUCCAUGUACAAUUAAUAACAACUGAAUUUAAAAAGUAUCAAGCAUCCUGAAUUUUCUAGAAUUGAAGUGGACGAUGAUCAAUCACUAGUUCAGAACUAUACAACUGCAAGUGCCUCUCAGCAACAGGAUGCUAUUUCUGAUGGAAAGAAAAUGAAUCCAAAUGAUUCCCAAAGAAAAGCAAGUUCAAACUCAUGGCCAGAUACUCAAUUAUGCUUAUUCUCAACUUGAAAGAGAGAAAGCUAUCCAGCAGCAAAACAAGAACAUGACCUUCUCAGGACGGAUUAACAUGGCUACCAAUACAGAAACAAUAAAACGACCUAAGGCAUAAGGUUAGAGAACCAUAUACCAGAAGUACCUCUACUUUGUUCAAACAAUAUCAUGCAGCUUCAAACUGCAAGCUCGAUCAAAUAAUUAUUGUACAACUUAUGCAGCCUGGGCAGAUAAUUUUGAAAUGCCAACUCAAACUUAAUAUGUACAGCACAAUUACCUCCCAAAGACCUCUAACAAUUACAGUAAACAAAAAAAGAUACAGAAAAUAAAAAGUGUACAACUGAGAAAACAUAGCAGUGAAGUGUAGAUUGAUUAACCAAACUAAUGAUACAGUCUUAUAUAUUUUUCAGAGUACCCAUCUAAUCUACUGCAUCAUAUAGCUUCAAACUGCAAGUGCUAACAGUGGCCAAGGAAUAAGUAGUUUGAAGGGUCAGAAAGACAGAAUAUAUCACAGCUUCACAUAAUCAUUUGUAUCCAGAUUACAAGUAAUCAGAAAAAACAAAAACAAAUUAAAUACUUACGGUGGAUGACUUGUUCCAGUCGCUGAAGCUGCUGCAGAACUUGCAUCCAUGUUCAUUUUCUCUAGUGCUGAAAAAAGAAAAUACCACUAAAUAUUCUUAAUAAAUAUAAAGGUGAGCAGUGCAAAAAUAAUCAAAUAAUAAAUAAAUAUACGUUCAUCUAGUUGUUU